Molecule: transfer RNA, 67 nt
Filed under: Prosopocoilus astacoides
Lineage: Eukaryota; Metazoa; Arthropoda; Insecta; Coleoptera; Lucanidae
Also listed under: 1 other name
Description: tRNA-Ser
Source: RNAcentral
GGGUCAAGACACACAAGAAUAAGCUUCUAACUUAAUUCCCCAGCGGUGAAACUCCGUUGAUGACCCU